UGAGAUGUUUAUCGCUAUGGAAUCACGUUCAAGAAGUCUCAUUCAGCACACAUCGCGAUACUUGCUAUCAGUUCCACAGUUUGGCUGAAAAGACGUAAAGGAAGCAGUCAGCCCAGUGGUGUUUCUGGAGAGGGAUUCCUUCAGAAAUGGAGAAGACAGAAAGCUGCGGAGGCAGACAUUUGCAGCAGAUUGUUUGCAGACAACACUGUAGUUCUCCAUCAUUCACAAGGACUCACCUCGUUAACUCUUUAUCCCCCACACACACAGAAAUGGUCCCUGGAUCAGUGAUUUGACUUUGCAGUGGUUUGAUUUUUGUAGAAGAUGUAACUUUGGUUUAAUUAUAAGCUCAUAAUGAAUACAUUACAGAACCAGUGAUGAAAACAAUAGUUAAAAAUAGUAUUUUUCGUAUUGAUAAAGCAUUGUGUUCUCUUUUUCAAGCUUCAUACAGUAAACUUUACUUGUUCUCAUCAGGAGUUUCAGUAAAGGAGAUAUUCAUACACAGUCAUCCCCUAGUUCCAGUCAUGAAGUGAAUUCAUGAUGUAAUUGUCAAAGGUAGCAGGUGUUUGUUUUCCUGAACACUUUCUCUGUCUUCCAUUGUUCGGACAAACAGUGUUUAUUUGAUGCUGUGCUAAUAGAGUUUUAUAGAUGAUAUUGCACACUUGACAUGAAUGUCUUCAUGAUGUUUUUUAUGAGUUUGAAACAUUUACAUUGUGUUGUAUAACAUUUUGGUCAAUUUAAUUUUUAAGAAAAUUGAUCUUUUUCCAGUGUUCUCUGAAAGAAAUACUGUUUUUACAGUUUUGUUUUUUAAUAAAAGCAUUUUCAUUUGCAUA
Molecule: long non-coding RNA, 830 nt
Organism: Carassius carassius (crucian carp)
Lineage: Eukaryota; Metazoa; Chordata; Actinopteri; Cypriniformes; Cyprinidae
Exons: 4
Source: RefSeq, a predicted model, not a curated record